GGGUGCUUAGCUCAGCUGGUAGAGCGGCGCCCUUACAAGGCGUAGGUCGGGGGUUCGAUCCCCUCAGCACCCA
Molecule: non-coding RNA, 73 nt
Organism: Burkholderia sp. TJI49
Lineage: Bacteria; Pseudomonadati; Pseudomonadota; Betaproteobacteria; Burkholderiales; Burkholderiaceae
Source: Rfam